CUUUUUUGACGAAAUGACCAGUUGUUGCAUCGUAAUUGAACUGGAAUUGGUCCCAUUGCAGAGAAAUGAUUACUCGAAAAUUUAUAAUGCUCCCGUUGAUCGUCUUGCAUGCACGCCGAUUCCGCCUGAAUUUACCACCUCGGAACAUCUCCGGACUGGAAAACCUGGUGCUUCAAGGUCAGCGGCACUAUCUCCCGUGGAAGCUGCUCUACGACAGGAGGACAUUUAUCAGGUCGAUUUUGUGACGGUGAAGCACUUUUUUAAAAUAGAUUGUAGCCUUAUAUUUAGUUAAUGAAAUGUAUAAGAGAAACUUGAAAUAAUAAUUCAUGGCAACAUG
This is a long non-coding RNA of Culex pipiens pallens (northern house mosquito), 337 nucleotides long. RefSeq lists it as uncharacterized. The transcript is spliced from 2 exons. NCBI's taxonomy places the organism in Eukaryota, Metazoa, Arthropoda, Insecta, Diptera, Culicidae. The record is from RefSeq and is a predicted model, not a curated record.